RNAcentral lists this ribosomal RNA (253 nucleotides) under uncultured bacterium. RNAcentral's name for it is "partial 16S ribosomal RNA". It matches the Rfam family "Bacterial small subunit ribosomal RNA", at positions 524 to 776 of the family's 1533-position model. The record is from RNAcentral.
UACGUAGGGUGCGAGCGUUGUCCGGAAUUACUGGGCGUAAAGAGUUCGUAGGCGGUUUGUCGCGUCGUUCGUGAAAACUUGGGGCUUAACUCCAAGCGUGCGGGCGAUACGGGCAGACUUGAGUACUACAGGGGAGACUGGAAUUCCUGGUGUAGCGGUGAAAUGCGCAGAUAUCAGGAGGAACACCGGUGGCGAAGGCGGGUCUCUGGGUAGUAACUGACGCUGGGGAACGAAAGCGUGGGUAGCGAACAGG